UUCCCUCUUCACCAAAGCUGAAAGCCGAAACCUACCUCCCUUGUUCUUUCUUCCUUACCGACUCUGCUAGCCUCGGAGCUUUAUAUCUCUCUUGCCAUACUCUUGCUUCCAGUUUCCUCUGUAGGCUUCUUCUUAUUCUUCUUCUUCUCGGUUCCUGCAUUGAGUUCUUUUUGUGAAAAUAUGAGUUUGAUUUCUCAAAAUGUUGGCUCCAAAAACAGAGUUAAGACUAGAGAGAAGGAGACUAAUGAACCUACAUUUAUGGAAGGAAAUAAAGAGAAUGAAGAAGGAACAGAAUCUGAGUUGGUUAAGUUAAGGGCAAAAAAGAGAAAGAAAGAAAAGCAAGAACAAUUGGAAGCUGAUGAAGGAAGGGAAAUGAAAAGGUUGGAAAACUUUUUGUUUGGAUCCCUAUAUUCCCCUAUUGAAUUUGGAAAGAAUGAGGAGGAAAAGGCCUGUGAUGUGGCUGGGGAUGGUUCUGCUUUGUUCUUUGUGGACCGUUCGGCAAAUAGCUUACUGUCUGUUUAUGAAGACGAUAUGGAAUUCACUGAGAGAAGUGAUGUUGAAGAGGAAACCAAACAACAAAAAGCUGUUUGGGUUGAUGAUGAAGAGGAAAAGACCACAGUUAACAUUGCUACGAAUAAUAGAUUAAGGAAACUGAGGAAGGAAGAGGAUGAGAGUUUGAUUUCCGGUCGGGAAUAUGUUGCAAGAUUAAGGGCUCAACAUGCUAAGCUGAAUCGAGGCACUGAGUGGGCCCGACUUGAUUUUCAGUCAAGAAAUUAUAAUGAUGAAUCUUCAGAUGAAGAGAACAGCAUUUUUACAGCACGUGGUUAUGAGUAUGUUGAAGGUUUUGAUGAUAUUCUUCGAACAAAUGAGGACCUUGUAGUGAAGAGCAGAACUAAACUGUUGCCUGGGCUUCUUGAGUACUCAAGACUUGUGGAUGCAAAUGCUCAGGAUCCAUCCAAUGGUCCAAUAAAUUCUGUUCAGUUCCAUCGGAAUGCACAGUUGCUGCUUGCUGCUGGAUUGGAUCGAAGGCUGAGGUUUUUUCAGAUUGAUGGGAAACAUAAUACAAAAAUACAAAGCAUUUUCAUUGAUGAUUGCCCUAUCCGCAAGGCAUCUUUCUUACCUGAUGGUUCACAGGUUAUUAUAGCAGGAAGAAGAAAGUUCUUUUACAAUUUUGAUUUAGUGAAAGCUAAAGUUGAUAAAAUAGGCCCCCUGGUUGGCAGGGAGGAGAAGAGCUUGGAGGUUUUUGAGGUAUCCCCUGAUUCGAGUACAAUUGCUUUUGUGGGGAAUGAAGGUUAUAUCCUAUUGAUAUCAUCCAAAACGAAGGAACUCAUUGGAACACUAAAGAUGAAUGGAACUGCUCGUUCUUUAGCUUUUGCUGAUAAUGGGCAGCAAUUAUUGAGCCAUGGAGGUGAUGGGCAGGUGUACCACUGGGAUUUGAGAACAAGGAUGUGCAUCCAUAAGGCUGUUGAUGAAGGUUGUAUAAAUGGCACGGCUCUUUGCACUUCCCCAAAUGGAAACUUUUUUGCUGCUGGCUCGGACAGUGGGAUAGUGAAUGUUUACAACAGAGAGGAGUUUUUAGGUGGGAAGAGAAAACCAAUAAAGGCAAUUGAGAAAAGCUAGAAGAUUUUAUGGUUGGAACCUUAUCAUUAGCUAUUACUUGUGAAUUAUUAGAAAGUUUCAAGCAAAAAAUAGCGGACAUCUAUUGAAGACAGAAUCAUUUUUACUAGGAAGCUUUUUGCUCUUGACCAACUCAAAUAGCAAUGAAAGAUACAACCCAAAAAAACUUUCCGAUAAAGCGAAAAAUCGAGAGAUCUUUGGGUUUUAAAUGUCCAACUGGACUUAAAGAUUCAAGAUAGAAUACAAAACACGAAAGAGAGAAAAGGAGAACUGAGCAUACAGUAGAGAUAAUAAUGAAGAAAGGACAGAGAGAGACUAAGAAGAGAGAGAUAUGACCCAACUUUCAAGGAUACUUAUUUAGUUGCUGUGGCAGAAAUCUAAUACACCUUAGCCAAAAUCUGACAAAAUGGCCUUUUAAAAACACGAUGCAAAAUUCAGUGAUUUGUGUGAAAAUUUGAAAAUAAGUAUUGAUGUGUGAAAUUUACCACAUGGUUAGUGUAUAACAAACUCUCAUGCAAACUCCUUUUUUCCGACCCUCCUACAACUGUUACUAGUUUGACUAUAAAUUUCCUAUUCAACUUGUAACAACUUCCUCCUAGUCUCUUACAAAUGGCAUCUAGGAUGACAACGUUAACAAUAACUGUAACGAAUUUUCUCCCUUUUCCUUUAAGAGUAAUAGUCUUAACCAGUAUCAAAAUCUAGCAUGCAAGUUCAGUUCACCCAUAGAUGUCAAUCUGUAUGAUUGGCACAGUGUUGUCAAAUUUGGAGCAUAUAUGACCCAGUCUAGGAUGUUCAUGUGACACUGAGCAUAGACUCAAAGAUGCCUUGUAGAAGUUAGUGUUCAUAAGAGAAAAUAGUUUGCUAGAGUUCAAUAUAAAAAAACAAUUCACUAACUGAGUACUGAUCCCAUAGAAGGAAUAGAAUAGAGUACAAUGAUUCAGUUCUUCAGCACCAAAAAAAUAUUCUCUACCUAUGCUUCCCAGUAUGAAGCUAGAGCCUGUUGCUUGAUAGAACAAUACUCACAAAGCAACUACAGGUUUGCAACUAUUAUAUGAAUCUUCAAAACCAUAACAGAUAAAAGACAUUUUUUACAUUUUAGUUGAACCAAGUAAAUAAAUUAUAUGGUGGCCAAUAAAGAGUGAGUUGAUUUAAGCACAGUACUUAAUUGUUUUUUAUUGCACUAGUACUUGGAAAUUUUACAAAUAGAAGAUUGUCUCAUCAUAUCAUGUAGUUAAAUUGACUUCCAUAUUUGUGUGGCAGCAAGGAAAACUAAGGGCGUAAAGCUCCAUCUAAGAGAUUCACUUCAAAUUGAACAGAUUCAACAUUCAAAUCCAUUUUGGUUCUAUUAUUUUAGAAGAUAAAUAAAGAAAAACACCCUUUUGAAUGAACUUCUCGUAAGUGUAAGAAAAGAAACAGACUGCACCAGUGAGAAUCAACAAAUUGAAGUAAAUUCAUCAACAAGUGACUGAAUGGUAAGAACUAAAAAUAUCUAAUAAAACAUCAUUUCUUCAAUGAAUUUCGAGAAUAUGGAAUAUGGAAGCCCACAAUUAAAUGAGCUCAAAGUGAUUCAUUUCUUUUGAAUUAUCAAAAAAAAAAA
RNAcentral lists this unclassified non-coding RNA (3214 nucleotides) under Hevea brasiliensis (rubber tree). Lineage: Eukaryota; Viridiplantae; Streptophyta; Magnoliopsida; Malpighiales; Euphorbiaceae. The record is from RNAcentral.